This 538-nucleotide ribosomal RNA is filed under the name Fasciola gigantica. Its description in RNAcentral is "partial ribosomal RNA". The record is from RNAcentral. Lineage: Eukaryota; Metazoa; Platyhelminthes; Trematoda; Plagiorchiida; Fasciolidae.
CGAUUUUUUUGUUUUUGAUGAAGAGCGCAGCCAAAUAUGGGAAGGGGGGGGGGGGUGCAUAAAGCUUUGAACAUGGACAUCUAGACAGCCUAUUGCGGCCAUGGGUUAGCCUGUGAACACGCAUGUCCGAGGGUCGGCUUAUAAACUAUCACCACGCCCAAAAGAUCGUGGAUUGGGUUUUGCCAGGUAGCGAAAUCUCCCCUAAGAGUAAUCAUGUGAGGUGCCAGAUUUACGGCGUUUCCCUAAAGUAUCCGGAUGCACCCUUGUAUUGGCAGAAAGCCGUGGCGAGGCGCAGCGGCGGAAUCGUGGUUUAAUAAUAGGGUUGGUACUCAGUCGUCAGGGUUUUUUUCUGUAACAAGGAGUCGGCACACUCAUGAUUUCUGAGAUAAUUCCAUACCAGGCACGUUCCCCUACCCAUACUUUCCUUUUAAAAAAGAGAAAUAAGUCAUGCUCUGACCGGGGCCCUAAAAUACCCUUCGUGGAAUAUCCUCCCAACCUCGUCAGACUGAUAGUCGGACACCCGAGUCGUAGAAAUAAG